AUCCAGAUGACGAGUCCCAAAUAGGACGAAACUCGUGUCAAACUGGAU
RNAcentral lists this non-coding RNA (48 nucleotides) under Schistosoma haematobium. Lineage: Eukaryota; Metazoa; Platyhelminthes; Trematoda; Strigeidida; Schistosomatidae. The record is from RNAcentral.